UGGGGAAUAUUGCACAAUGGGGGAAACCCUGAUGCAGCGACGCCGCGUGAACGAAGAAGGUAUUCGUAUCGUAAAGUUCUGUCCUAUGGGAAGAUAAUGACAGUACCAUAGGAGAAAGCUCCGGCUAAAUACGUGCCAGCAGCCGCGGUAAUACGUAUGGAGCGAGCGUUGUCCGGAAUUAUUGGGCGUAAAGGGUACGCAGGCGGUUUAAUAAGUCGAAUGUUAAAGAUCGGGGCUCAACCCCGCAAAGCAUUGGAAACUGAUAAACUUGAGUAGUGGAGAGGAAAGUGGAAUUACUAGUGUAGUGGUGAAAUAAGUAGAUAUUAGGAGGAAUACCAGUAGCGGAGGCGACUUUCUGGACACAAACUGACGCUGAGGUACGAAAGCGUGGGGAGCAAACAGG
Molecule: ribosomal RNA, 403 nt
Filed under: bacterium
Lineage: Bacteria
Description: partial 16S ribosomal RNA
Rfam family: Bacterial small subunit ribosomal RNA
Source: RNAcentral